GACCAAUUCAUUUGAUCAAGUUCCUCGAGAUAUUCAUACACUUCCUGUGAAAGAGCCAAUUCCAAGUAUUUGAUCAUUUCUGGUCACUUCCUUUCUAUUUAUGAUUGGUUAGUUGCACAAACAACAAAGGUGAUUGGUGCAUUCAAACUAUUCAACAGAAAGUUUACAAUUAUACUAGGAAGUGUAUGAAUAUCUCGAGGAACUUGAUCAAAUGGAUUGGUCAGCCCGGGGUAAUGUAUUGAAUCAAUAUUUGAGCAACACUUCAAUUGGAACGACAGUAAUAA
Non-coding RNA from Paramuricea clavata, 284 nucleotides. NCBI's taxonomy places the organism in Eukaryota, Metazoa, Cnidaria, Anthozoa, Malacalcyonacea, Plexauridae. The record is from the annotation of a GenBank genome assembly.